RNAcentral lists this transfer RNA (76 nucleotides) under Myxococcus sp. AM009. RNAcentral's name for it is "tRNA-Ala". It matches the Rfam family "tRNA". From Rfam's summary of the family: Transfer RNA (tRNA) molecules are approximately 80 nucleotides in length. Their secondary structure includes four short double-helical elements and three loops (D, anti-codon, and T loops). Further hydrogen bonds mediate the characteristic L-shaped molecular structure. tRNAs have two regions of fundamental functional importance: the anti-codon, which is responsible for specific mRNA codon recognition, and the 3' end, to which the tRNAs corresponding amino acid is attached (by aminoacyl-tRNA synthetases). tRNAs cope with the degeneracy of the genetic code in two manners: having more than one tRNA (with a specific anti-codon) for a particular amino acid; and 'wobble' base-pairing, i.e. permitting non-standard base-pairing at the 3rd anti-codon position. The record is from RNAcentral. Lineage: Bacteria; Pseudomonadati; Myxococcota; Myxococcia; Myxococcales; Myxococcaceae.
GGUGGCUUAGCUCAGCUGGGAGAGCGCCUGCUUUGCACGCAGGAGGUCAGCGGUUCGAUCCCGCUAGUCUCCACCA